Molecule: long non-coding RNA, 322 nt
Filed under: Medicago truncatula (barrel medic)
Lineage: Eukaryota; Viridiplantae; Streptophyta; Magnoliopsida; Fabales; Fabaceae
Description: lncRNA gene29830
Source: RNAcentral
AUGGCAACUUCUGCCUAUGGUUUGAUGUAUGGCGACUUCUGCCAAAACAUGGGUUGGUACCUCUCUAGUGGUUUGAUUGAAGGCGAUUUCUGCAUGUGGGUUGAUUAAUGGCAACUUCUGCUUGUGGUUUGAUUAAUGGGUCAUUUUCCCUUCAAGUGGUUUGAUUAUGGGGCAUUCUCCCUUCAGUGGUCUGAUUAAUGGUUUGUUUCCCCUGCCAGUGGUUUGAUAUCGUGCUUUACCCCAACAUUAAUUUGAUUCAUCGCCAGUGAUUUUAUUUCCAAUGAAGAUUGCUGAGUGUUUGUACUGCGAUGUCAUUCAACCU